AAUUCGCCACACAAUGAUAAGGUUGCUGCGAGAUCUAGUGACAAUCAUUCAAAUUCUGCACAGAAUUCUCUGUUAUGAACAGCGCUGACAUAC
This is a long non-coding RNA of Sinocyclocheilus rhinocerous, 93 nucleotides long. RefSeq lists it as uncharacterized. The transcript is spliced from 3 exons. NCBI's taxonomy places the organism in Eukaryota, Metazoa, Chordata, Actinopteri, Cypriniformes, Cyprinidae. The record is from RefSeq and is a predicted model, not a curated record.